UGGGGAAUUUUGGACAAUGGGCGAAAGCCUGAUCCAGCAAUGCCGCGUGUGUGAAGAAGGCCUUCGGGUUGUAAAGCACUUUUGUCCGGAAAGAAAUCCUUGGCUCUAAUACAGUCGGGGGAUGACGGUACCGGAAGAAUAAGCACCGGCUAACUACGUGCCAGCAGCCGCGGUAAUACGUAGGGUGCAAGCGUUAAUCGGAAUUACUGGGCGUAAAGCGUGCGCAGGCGGUUUGCUAAGACCGAUGUGAAAUCCCCGGGCUCAACCUGGGAACUGCAUUGGUGACUGGCAGGCUAGAGUAUGGCAGAGGGGGGUAGAAUUCCACGUGUAGCAGUGAAAUGCGUAGAGAUGUGGAGGAAUACCGAUGGCGAAGGCAGCCCCCUGGGCCAAUACUGACGCUCAUGCACGAAAGCGUGGGGAGCAAACAGGAUUAGAUACCCUGGUAGUCCACGCCCUAAACGAUGUCAACUAGUUGUUGGGGACUUCAUUUUCCUUAGUAACGUAGCUAACGCGUGAAGUUGACCGCCUGGGGAGUACGGUCGCAAGAUUAAAACUUAAAUGAAUUGACGGGGUCAUAGCUGUUUCCU
This 587-nucleotide ribosomal RNA is filed under the name uncultured bacterium. RNAcentral's name for it is "partial 16S ribosomal RNA". It matches the Rfam family "Bacterial small subunit ribosomal RNA", at positions 355 to 1375 of the family's 1533-position model. The record is from RNAcentral.